GGGGAUUUAGCUCAGUGGUAGAGCACUUGCCUAGCAAGCGCAAGGCGCAAGGCGCAAGGCCCUGGGUUCGGUCCCCAGCUCCG
RNAcentral lists this transfer RNA (83 nucleotides) under Rattus norvegicus (Norway rat). It matches the Rfam family "tRNA". From Rfam's summary of the family: Transfer RNA (tRNA) molecules are approximately 80 nucleotides in length. Their secondary structure includes four short double-helical elements and three loops (D, anti-codon, and T loops). Further hydrogen bonds mediate the characteristic L-shaped molecular structure. tRNAs have two regions of fundamental functional importance: the anti-codon, which is responsible for specific mRNA codon recognition, and the 3' end, to which the tRNAs corresponding amino acid is attached (by aminoacyl-tRNA synthetases). tRNAs cope with the degeneracy of the genetic code in two manners: having more than one tRNA (with a specific anti-codon) for a particular amino acid; and 'wobble' base-pairing, i.e. permitting non-standard base-pairing at the 3rd anti-codon position. The record is from Rfam by way of RNAcentral. Lineage: Eukaryota; Metazoa; Chordata; Mammalia; Rodentia; Muridae.